This 253-nucleotide ribosomal RNA is filed under the name uncultured bacterium. RNAcentral describes it as "partial 16S ribosomal RNA". It matches the Rfam family "Archaeal small subunit ribosomal RNA", at positions 474 to 727 of the family's 1478-position model. The record is from RNAcentral.
UACCAGCACCCCGAGUGGUCGGGACGAUUAUUGGGCCUAAAGCAUCCGUAGCCGGUCCUGCAAGUCUUCCGUUAAAUCCAGCUGCUCAACAGAUGGGCUGCGGGAGAUACUACAGGGCUAGGAGGCGGGAGAGGCAAGCGGUACUUUAUGGGUAGGGGUAAAAUCCGCUGAUCCAUAGAAGACCACCAGUGGCGAAGGCGGCUUGCCAGAACGCGCUCGACGGUGAGGGAUGAAAGCUGGGGGAGCAAACCGU